RNAcentral lists this ribosomal RNA (1383 nucleotides) under Triticum aestivum (bread wheat). RNAcentral's name for it is "partial small subunit ribosomal RNA". Lineage: Eukaryota; Viridiplantae; Streptophyta; Magnoliopsida; Poales; Poaceae. The record is from RNAcentral.
GGCUGCCAAAACUCAUAUUAGUCACUCAAGGAAAUGCAGCUAACUACCGCUCCAUGCUGCCACCCAGGUCACCGAGGAUGUGGAUACCAUCCAAAAGCUUCCCAUAUCUUUCUUCUUCAUUUUGUUUUUCAGGGACAACUGAACAUAGGUCAGGAUGGGGAAAUUAAGGGUCAAGAUUUCAAAGGAAUAGCAAAGACAAGUGCAAUGGUAGGCAAAAAAAAUGCCCUCUAAAGUGAAAGUACUGGAUUUGUUCCUACAGAGGUUCUUUUGCAAAGCAUCAAGGAUACAGGUUAAAUGACAUCAUAUCCUAGACAUGGAUGUUUCCAUUAUACAGUUUGCAAUCCAGUUAAACAAAUCUCUGAUAAUAGUAGGACAGACUACACACAAACACAGAUUACCCAGUAUAAGUUGAAUUACUCACUGGUCACAUAGAAAGAAAAAUUCACGGUGAUAUAUCUGCAUCGAUAAUCGUACAUAAGAGAUAUAUGAUCCACUAAGCAAAAAACUGUGAUAUAUUUGCUUCAACAUACAGAUAUGGAACAUUCAUUCCACUAUACAUUUACCUUCUGGGAUAAUGACCAUGUUUAUACAUUUGAGCAUACAAUUUUUACUUUUACAAUUAAGAACGCCUGAUAAUUCAGAUUUCAGAAAACAUUGAUAAGACGCUGCCAUUCCGACAGUUUCAGAUCAAAACAUUGAGGUUGCCGGUAGUGGAAAAGCCGAUGCGGAGUAUUUCGGUGAGGAGGUUGCCGUCGUCGAGCACCUUGGAUACAGUGGCCGCAGCUGCCAGUGGGGAAUGCCGCUCUAUGUCACCACACACACACAUACCCAAUUUCUUCUCGGGUUCGGCACUGGGAAUCGGCAUUGAAAAAUAAAAGAAUGCAAAUGGACGGCAACGCAGUGGAUUGAUUUAUUCAGACUGCAAAUGUUUGCAAUCCAACACACAACACACAGCUAAGUGCAGCAGAGCAUACGCAAAUUACAAACUGCUGCACGAACUGAAAUUUGGGAGAGAAUCCAAGAAAUAGAGAGAGACCGGAUCUUGAUUACCACUGGGGAAUCUCAGCAAGAUCCAUCUAUCCCCACCCUUAGCUCCCACGACGAGUAAAGAAUAUGGAUCUAGCUAGGAUUUCCCCACGAGAGAAGAGAAGAAAUUGGGAAAGGAAGGGGAGGAGAAGAUAGCUCACAUCAAAACACAUGAGGGGAGAAGAAUCACUGGUCGCUGGCCGCCGGGAACGGGCUCAGGUCGCCGGCCAAUUCGCGGCGGAGCAUCGUUUCGCCCGGUCGGGCGUCGAUGUGUUGUGUGUUGAAUCUUCUUCUUUUUUGAGGGGUUGUUGUGUGUCGAAUCAGACGAGCUGAAGCGAGCUGCAGAGCGAAGCUGAG